This 773-nucleotide ribosomal RNA is filed under the name uncultured Pseudomonadota bacterium. RNAcentral describes it as "bacterial SSU rRNA". It matches the Rfam family "Bacterial small subunit ribosomal RNA", at positions 559 to 1334 of the family's 1533-position model. The record is from RNAcentral. Lineage: Bacteria; Pseudomonadati; Pseudomonadota.
CGUAAAGGGCAUGCAGGCGGUCGGUCAAGUAGGAUGUGAAAGCCCCGGGCUCAACCUGGGAACUGCAUUCUAAACUGUCCGACUAGAGUAUUGCAGGGGGAGACGGAAUUCCAGGUGUAGCGGUGGAAUGCGUAGAUAUCUGGAAGAACACCAAAGGCGAAGGCAGUCUCCUGGGCAAAUACUGACGCUCAUAUGCGAAAGCGUGGGUAGCAAACAGGAUUAGAUACCCUGGUAGUCCACGCCGUAAACGAUGUCAAUUAGGAGCUUGAGCAAAAGUUUGGGUUCCGAAGCAAACGCGAUAAAUUGACCGCCUGGGGAGUACGGCCGCAAGGUUAAAACUCAAAUGAAUUGACGGGGGCCCGCACAAGCGGUGGAGCAUGUGGUUUAAUUCGACGCAACGCGAAGAACCUUACCUGACCUUGACAUCGUAGGAGCCUCUCUGAAGGGAGAGGGUGCCUUCGGGAACCUACAGACAGGUGCUGCAUGGCUGUCGUCAGCUCGUGUCGUGAGAUGUUGGGUUAAGUCCCGCAACGAGCGCAACCCUUGUCCUUUGUUGCCAGCGGGUAAAGCCGGGAACUCAAAGGAGACUGCCAGUGACAAACUGGAGGAAGGCAGGGAUGACGUCAAGUCAUCAUGGCCCUUACGGUCAGGGCUACACACGUGCUACAAUGGGGCGUACAGAGGGAAACGAUACCGCGAGGUGGAGUAGAGCCCAGAAAGCGUCCCUAAGUUCGGAUUGGAGUCUGCAACUCGACUCCAUGAAGUCGGAAUCG